Molecule: ribosomal RNA, 484 nt
Filed under: uncultured bacterium
Lineage: Bacteria
Description: partial 16S ribosomal RNA
Rfam family: Bacterial small subunit ribosomal RNA
Source: RNAcentral
AUUGAGCGCUGGCGGCAGGCCUAACACAUGCAAGUCGAGCGGAUGAAGGGAGCUUGCUCCUGGAUUCAGCGGCGGACGGGUGAGUAAUGCCUAGGAAUCUGCCUGGUAGUGGGGGAUAACGUCCGGAAACGGGCGCUAAUACCGCAUACGUCCUGAGGGAGAAAGUGGGGGAUCUUCGGACCUCACGCUAUCAGAUGAGCCUAGGUCGGAUUAGCUAGUUGGUGGGGUAAAGGCCUACCAAGGCGACGAUCCGUAACGGGUCUGAGAGGAUGAUCAGUCACACUGGAACUGAGACACGGUCCAGACUCCUACGGGAGGCAGCAGUGGGGAAUAUUGGACAAUGGGCGAAAGCCUGAUCCAGCCAUGCCGCGUGUGUGAAGAAGGUCUUCGGAUUGUAAAGCACUUUAAGUUGGGAGGAAGGGCAGUAAGUUAAUACCUUGCUGUUUUGACGUUACCAACAGAAUAAGCACCGGCUAACUUCGUG